RNAcentral lists this ribosomal RNA (2323 nucleotides) under Treherniella amplipennis. RNAcentral describes it as "eukaryotic LSU rRNA". It matches the Rfam family "Eukaryotic large subunit ribosomal RNA", at positions 83 to 1817 of the family's 3401-position model. The record is from RNAcentral. Lineage: Eukaryota; Metazoa; Arthropoda; Insecta; Thysanoptera; Phlaeothripidae.
GUAGCGGCGAGCGAAGACGGAAGAGCCCAGCGCUGAACCCCCCGGUCCUGUCGGGCCGGCGGGGAAUGUAGCGUAAGGGAGCGUCCGUUCAACCCGGGCGCGUUCGGCGAGCACAAGUCUCCCUUGAACGGUGCCAUAAUCCGAAGAGGGUGCCAGGCCCGUACUGCCGCCGACGCGUCCGAGUGGGCGUCUCCUGGGAGUCGGUCUGUUUGAGAACGCAGACCUAAGUGGGUGGUAAACUCCAUCUAAGGCUAAAUACGACCACGAGACCGAUAGCGCACAAGUACCGUGAGGGAAAGGUGAAAAGAACUUUGAAGAGAGAGUUCAAGAGUACGUGAAACUGGAGAGGUGAAAACGGAUGUGGUUCGAAAUUCCGAACGGUGGUGUUCAGUCUCACCGGCUUCCCGGGCCUUCCGUCCGUCAGAGACCAAGGAACCUCGCCGGCGUGCGGCUUCCCCUUCGUGGGCGGUCGUCGCGUCGCCCGGUCCCCUCUCGGGCGGUUUAAAACGGUCUCGGGGCGGUGUGGAUGCACUCGCUGCCGUAGUAGGAUGUCGCGACUCGUCGGGUGACGGUCUCGAGGCCGAGCGGGGUAGCCCGGUGUCCGCGCGUCGCGCACCUCUGAGGAGAAAUGCGCGCAGGGUGGCCCGGACCCGUCUCGUGUCCUCUCCGUCUGCCCGACGGUAUCGAAAGCGCGCCGGGGCUCUGACCCGACGCCUUGAAAUCGCUCCCUCCUAACGGAGGGGGCUAGGUGUCGGAAAUCUAAUGCGCCCCGGCUGUCUGCGGCAUUGCCUGUUUCGGAUCCAUAUCCGACCCGUCUUGAAACACGGACCAAGGAGCGUAACACAUGCGCGAGUCGAAGGGUGCUUCUAAACCCGUAGGCGAAGCGAAAGCGUAAGGGACGAUGGCUUAAUUUUUUGGUCGCGCUCUCUCGCCGGGCGACCGGCGGGAACCGGCCGGCCCGCAGUCCCGGGGCACCUCAUACGGCUCGCCGCGUCCCUCGCGGCGCGGUGAGUCGAGGCGCACCUGUGAGCGUAUGUGUUGUUACCCGAAAGAUGGUGAACUAUGCCUGGCCAGGACGAAGCCAGGGGAAACCCUGGUGGAAGUCCGUAGCGAUUCUGACGUGCAAAUCGAUCGUCGGAGCUGGGUAUAGGGGCGAAAGACUAAUCGAACCAUCUAGUAGCUGGUUCCCUCCGAAGUUUCCCUCAGGAUAGCUGGCGCUCGGAGGAUAUGAGAAGCGGAUGACGAGUCUCAUCCGGUAAAGCGAAUGAUUAGAGGCCUUGGGGCCGAAACGACCUCAACCUAUUCUCAAACUUUAAAUGGGUGAGAACCCCGGCUUGCUUGAGACCCGGUGUGCCUCAGUCCGCGUCCGGUGGGGUAAAACCCGCCGCGUCGCCUCUGGGGUCCCGGGAAAGUCUCUCGAGACCCUGAAGCCGGGGAAGUCUUAGUACGUGACGGAUCAUGAGUGCCAAGUGGGCCAAUUUUGGUAAGCAGAACUGGCGCUGUGGGAUGAACCAAACGCAGAGUUAAAGCGCCUAAAUCGACGCUCAUGGGAGACCAUGAAAGGUGUUGGUUGCUUAAGACAGCAGGACGGUGGCCAUGGAAGUCGGAAUCCGCUAAGGAGUGUGUAACAACUCACCUGCCGAAGCAACUAGCCCUUAAAAUGGAUGGCGCUAAAGCGUCGUGCUUAUACUCUGCCGCCGGUGGCAAAAGCGGCCGGUUAGGCGGACGGUCCCUCUCGUUCGCGGGAGGGAAACCUGGCCCCGAGCCUUGAGGCCCCGGUGAGUAGGAGGGUCGCUCGGGUGCGCGCAGAAGGGUCUGGGCGUGAGCCUGCCUGGAGCCGCCCGAGGUGCAGAUCUUGGUGGUAGUAGCAAAUACUCCAGAGAGGGCCCUGGAGGGCUGAUGCGGAGAAGGGUUCCGUGUGAACAGCUGUUGCACACGGGUCAGUCGAUCCUAAGCCCUAGGAGAACUCCUAUGUGCGAUGCGCGGGUGCUUUCUUGUUGAAGGGAGACCCCCGCCGCCGGGCGAAAGGGAAUCAGGUUUCUAUUCCUGAACCCAGAUGCGGUACCGUUUUCUCGGGCUUGUCUCGAAGCCGUCCCUCCUCGUCCUUUAGGGGUCGGGUUCUCGGGGCGUGCCUAGGGCGAACUCGUCGGGGUAACCCGAACAGCCGCGGAGAAGCCGGCCGGAGCCCCCGGGAGAGUUGUCUUUUCUGUAUUACCGCGCAAGUUCCCUGGAAUUCCAUUGCGGAGAGAGAGGGAAUAGCGCGGGAAGAGCACCGCACUUGCGGCGGUGUCGGGGGUGACCGCUCGGACCAUGAAAAUCCGCG